RNAcentral lists this ribosomal RNA (460 nucleotides) under uncultured bacterium. RNAcentral describes it as "partial 16S ribosomal RNA". It matches the Rfam family "Bacterial small subunit ribosomal RNA", at positions 338 to 795 of the family's 1533-position model. The record is from RNAcentral.
CCUACGGGGGGCAGCAGUGAGGAAUAUUGGUCAAUGGACGAGAGUCUGAACCAGCCAAGUAGCGUGAAGGAUGACUGCCCUAUGGGUUGUAAACUUCUUUUAUAUGGGAAUAAAAUGUUCCACGUGUGGGAUUUUGUAUGUACCAUAUGAAUAAGGAUCGGCUAACUCCGUGCCAGCAGCCGCGGUAAUACGGAGGAUCCGAGCGUUAUCCGGAUUUAUUGGGUUUAAAGGGAGCGUAGGUGGAUUGUUAAGUCAGUUGUGAAAGUUUGCGGCUCAACCGUAAAAUUGCAGUUGAAACUGGCAGUCUUGAGUACAGUAGAGGUGGGUGGAAUUCGUGGUGUAGCGGUGAAAUGCUUAGAUAUCACGAAGAACUCCGAUUGCGAAGGCAGUUCACUGGACUGCAACUGACACUGAGGCUCGAAAGUGUGGGUAUCAAACAGGAUUAGAGACCCGUGUAGUC